This 75-nucleotide transfer RNA is filed under the name Caudoviricetes sp. RNAcentral's name for it is "tRNA-OTHER". It matches the Rfam family "tRNA". Rfam says of the family: Transfer RNA (tRNA) molecules are approximately 80 nucleotides in length. Their secondary structure includes four short double-helical elements and three loops (D, anti-codon, and T loops). The record is from RNAcentral. Lineage: Duplodnaviria; Heunggongvirae; Uroviricota; Caudoviricetes.
UGUGGAAUGGAGCAGCGGUCAGCUUGCUGGGACACAUAACCCCAGAGGUCAAAGGUUCGAAUCCUUUUUCCACAA